UACAGAGGGGGCAAGCGUUAUUCGGAAUUAUUGGGCGUAAAGGGCGCGUAGGCGGCGAUUCAAGUGACGGGUGAAAUCCCUCGGCUUAACCGAGGAACUGCCUGUCAGACUGGGUUGCUUGAGACCGGGAGAGGCGAGUGGAAUUCCCAGUGUAGCGGUGAAAUGCGUAGAUAUUGGGAGGAACACCAGUGGCGAAGGCGGCUCGCUGGACCGGAACUGACGCUGAGGCGCGAAAGCGUGGGGAGCAAACGGG
RNAcentral lists this ribosomal RNA (253 nucleotides) under uncultured bacterium. Its description in RNAcentral is "partial 16S ribosomal RNA". It matches the Rfam family "Bacterial small subunit ribosomal RNA", at positions 524 to 776 of the family's 1533-position model. The record is from RNAcentral.